RNAcentral lists this ribosomal RNA (420 nucleotides) under bacterium. RNAcentral describes it as "partial 16S ribosomal RNA". It matches the Rfam family "Bacterial small subunit ribosomal RNA", at positions 355 to 776 of the family's 1533-position model. The record is from RNAcentral.
UGGGGGAUAUUGCACAAUGGGCGAAAGCCUGAUGCAGCGACGCCGCGUGGGGGAUGAAGGCUUUCGGGUUGUAAACCUCUUUCGCUAUCGAACAAGGCCCGCUUAGGGUGGGUUGAGGGUAGGUGGAGAAGAAGCGCCGGCUAACUACGUGCCAGCAGCCGCGGUAAUACGUAGGGCGCGAGCGUUGUCCGGAAUUAUUUGGCGUAAAGGGCGUGUAGGCGGCUUGUUGCGCCUGCUGUGAAAACGCGGGGCUUAACUUCGCGCGUGCAGUGGGUACGGGCAGGCUUGAGUGUGGUAGGGGUGACUGGAAUUCCAGGUGUAGCGGUGGAAUGCGCAGAUAUCUGGAGGAACACCGAUGGCGAAGGCAGGUCACUGGGCCAUUACUGACGGUGGGGGGCGAAAGCAUGGGUAGCGAACAGG